This 1309-nucleotide long non-coding RNA is filed under the name Ailuropoda melanoleuca (giant panda). Its description in RNAcentral is "lncRNA (ENSAMEG00000028777.1)". The stretch from base 86 to 158 matches the Rfam family "tRNA". Lineage: Eukaryota; Metazoa; Chordata; Mammalia; Carnivora; Ursidae. The record is from RNAcentral.
UUUAAAAGUAUCUUUAAGAAAGGUAUUUUUUAAGAAAUCUUUUUGGAGUCAAAAAGAGAUAUUAAGAAUUAAGAAAGGAGGGGGCGCCUGGAUGGCUUAGUUGGUAGAGCAUGGGACUCGCAAUCUCAGGGUCUUGAGUUGAAGCCCCACAUUGGGUAUGGUGCCUCCUUUAAACAAAUUUUUUUUUUCUUUAAGGAAUCAAGAAGAAAGGAAAUUGCAAAUGGAUCUUUGAAGGAUGGAAGGGACUUAGGUCAGCAGAGAUGAGCUGGCUGGGGAGGCUGCCCUCCGCAGGAGGAACACUGCAAUCAAGGACACAAAAUAAGAAAUGGAUGGAGUGUUCAAGGAACACCAGAAGUUGGUUUGGUUGAAGCAUAGGACUCAAGGUGGAGAAAAGUAGGAGACAAAGUCCAGGAAAAUAAGAUGGGGCCAUGGUCUCGGAUGCCAAGCUAAACCUUUUGUAAUUUGCGGUUGAGAAGAACCCCUGGAGCUUGAACUGUGCAGGUGAUAAAUUUUAAAGUAAAUUUUCCCAUAACCUCUUACUUAAUGAGGUUCUGGAUCUCAGCCCUUCUAACUUAAUGAUAUUUGGAUAUUUGAUUGACUCAGCAGUGAGAUUGAACUUCAGACAACGCUGGACUACCACCUGUAAACCAGAGACAGCUUUCCAUUUGAAUGAACAGAAUCACAGACUAAAAUAAAAGGGGGAAAUAAUGUAUCUUGAUUGUGACAGUACAUAGAAGCUGUUGUAUCCACCACUGUUGGAAUAUGAUAGGGAAAGUCUCCUGUGGUACCUCCCCCACUGGCUGAACCCAAGAGGAAGCCUAAGGACAAGUGAGCCCAGAUGACAGUGUCCUUCAAGGCCAGCCUCUGGAAAAGGACGGCGGGUGGAUCUGGGAAGACAAAGGCAGAAUAUCUAGCAGAUGGGAAGAAGCGUUGACACUACUGAGGAGAAGGAAUACUUCUCUUGGCACCCAGGAAAGGCAGAAAGACUUGGAAGACAUGUGUGUGCUCAAGAUUUUGUGUUUAUUUAGAGUUAUUCUCCUUCCCACUCACAUGUAUAAGCAUAUGGACUUUUAAAGUUGGCAUGAUUGAGGAAGCCUAACUUGACACAGAAAAAAAUUGAGCCAGAGGACUGAGCCAACCUUUCUGUAGUGAGAGAACUGAUUGGACGUGGCUGAGAAAGUUGCCUCUGACGACCCAAGACAGCUGUGUGGCCACCUGAUUCACCCAACCCUCUACCCAAAUGGUAGCUUCCUGGGAGAAUCAAUCUCCCCUUAAUUCAAGAGAACAGAGGGCAAACAGUUUGCAUGUG